GUAGAUUUGUAAAAGGUGUUCACAGUUGUUUUUGCUGUUGCUGCUUUCUAGAGUGAUAGUUCUUUCUUUAGUUGGGUUUGGUACAUCUAUUUCAUGAUGCAGAUUUUCCUGAAAUAUUUUGUCAAUCUGGACUAUGUGUACAGUCAAAUAUUUCACAUUAAUUUUUUAAUUUUCUCUGAAUGUUUAUAUUUACUUCUACCAAUAAUCUGGGAAUAAGAAUGAGUAAGCAGCCGGGUCUAUUAUUCCAGCAGCUCACCCGCUCUUUCAGAGUAUGGGGAUUUCUGAAGAAAAAAUUGCUGGAACCAGGAUUAACUUAAGAAAGCAACACACAGAAUUAAAUGAGGAUUUGGAUUUCUCACUAUUCUGAAGGCAACAGCAGCAUUAUUACUUAUAAAAAUAGUGUGUAUAUUUGUUGGGAGGUGUUGGGGAUAAUCUCUUGUAUGUAGUACCUUUUUAAUUAUGGAAGUUUUCAUCAGUGGUAAAUUGGUUUGAGGUACAGUUAGUUGGAAGGUGAAGUAGUCAGGUACGUACUGGGUAUGACACUUAUUUGGUAAAGGUACAAUAAUAAUGAUAAAAAUUGUGAUGUGAGCUUGUUGCACUGAAAAUCUUUGUAAUAAUA
Molecule: long non-coding RNA, 619 nt
Filed under: Homo sapiens (human)
Lineage: Eukaryota; Metazoa; Chordata; Mammalia; Primates; Hominidae
Description: novel transcript
Source: RNAcentral